GAUAAACGCUGGCGGCGUGCCUAACACAUGCAAGUCGAACGCCCUGGAGCAAUUCAGGGAGUGGCGGACGGGUGAGGAACACGUGGGUGAUCUGCCUUGAGGUGAGGAAUACCGGCGAGAAAUCGCCGACAAUACCGCAUAGGUUCGUAAGAACAAAGUCGCAAGACGCCUUGAGAUGAGCCUGCGUCCGAUUAGCCAGUUGGUGGGUAAUGGCCUACCAAAGCAGCGAUCGGUAGCUGGUCUGAGAGGACGAUCAGCCACACUGGGAUUGAGAACGGCCCAGACUCCUACGGGGG
This 296-nucleotide ribosomal RNA is filed under the name uncultured bacterium. Its description in RNAcentral is "partial 16S ribosomal RNA". It matches the Rfam family "Bacterial small subunit ribosomal RNA", at positions 28 to 347 of the family's 1533-position model. The record is from RNAcentral.